Molecule: ribosomal RNA, 477 nt
Filed under: Niphargus plateaui
Lineage: Eukaryota; Metazoa; Arthropoda; Malacostraca; Amphipoda; Niphargidae
Description: partial 12S ribosomal RNA
Source: RNAcentral
UACUGUGGACUUAUUUGAUUAAAUUAGAUUUAUUUUAAUUGUUUAUUAUAGUUUAUUUAAUUUUGGUGAAAUAUAUUUAUAUAUAUAUUUAAUGUUAUUAUAUAGAAUUAAUUUUUUAUAAUUAGGAUUAGAUACCCUAUUAAUAAUAGGUUUUAUUUUCUAAGGAAUAUAUAUAAAAUAAAAAUAUUUGGCGGCUAUUUAUAUUAAAGGGAUUUGCUUUUUUAUCGAUUUACCUCGUUUUUUAUUAUUUAGUUUGUUUUUGUAUACCGUCAUUUAGAUAAUUUUUAUAAAGUUAAUUAUGUAAAUUAUUUUCUAUAAAUUAGAUCAAGGUGCAGAUAUAAUUAAUUUUAAGUUAAUGACAAUAAUUUAUUAUUAUACAGUAUAUUUUUAAUUUAUUAGAACAGGAGGAUUUAAGUGUAAUAGAAGUUACUUGAAAUUAAGUUAAUAGUGUACAAAUUGCCCGUCAUUCUCUAUGAG